Molecule: transfer RNA, 73 nt
Filed under: uncultured Chloroflexi bacterium HF0200_09I09
Lineage: Bacteria; Bacillati; Chloroflexota
Description: tRNA-Met
Rfam family: tRNA
About the family: Transfer RNA (tRNA) molecules are approximately 80 nucleotides in length. Their secondary structure includes four short double-helical elements and three loops (D, anti-codon, and T loops). Further hydrogen bonds mediate the characteristic L-shaped molecular structure. tRNAs have two regions of fundamental functional importance: the anti-codon, which is responsible for specific mRNA codon recognition, and the 3' end, to which the tRNAs corresponding amino acid is attached (by aminoacyl-tRNA synthetases). tRNAs cope with the degeneracy of the genetic code in two manners: having more than one tRNA (with a specific anti-codon) for a particular amino acid; and 'wobble' base-pairing, i.e. permitting non-standard base-pairing at the 3rd anti-codon position.
Source: RNAcentral
GGCAGGGUAGCUCAGAGGCCAGAGCAGGGGACUCAUAAGCCCUUAGUCGGCGGUUCGAAUCCGCCCCCUGCUA